This 253-nucleotide ribosomal RNA is filed under the name uncultured bacterium. RNAcentral describes it as "partial 16S ribosomal RNA". It matches the Rfam family "Bacterial small subunit ribosomal RNA", at positions 524 to 776 of the family's 1533-position model. The record is from RNAcentral.
UACGAAGGGGGCUAGCGUUGUUCGGAAUCACUGGGCGUAAAGGGCGUGUAGGCGGCUUUGUAAGUCGGGGGUGAAAGCCUGUGGCUCAACCACAGAAUUGCCUUCGAUACUGCAUGGCUUGAGACCGGAAGAGGUUAGUGGAACUGCGAGUGUAGAGGUGAAAUGCGUAGAUAUUCGCAAGAACACCAGUGGCGAAGGCGGCUGACUGGUCCGGUUCUGACGCUGAGGCGCGAAAGCGUGGGGAGCAAACAGG